This 305-nucleotide ribosomal RNA is filed under the name uncultured bacterium. RNAcentral describes it as "bacterial SSU rRNA". It matches the Rfam family "Bacterial small subunit ribosomal RNA", at positions 338 to 660 of the family's 1533-position model. The record is from RNAcentral.
CCUACGGGGGGCAGCAGUGGGGGAUAUUGCACAAUGGGGGCAACCCUGAUGCAGCGACGCCGCGUGAGCGAUGGAGUACUUCGGUAUGUAAAGCUCUGUCAGCAGGGAAGAGAAUGACGGUACCUGACCAAGAAGCCCCGGCUAAAUACGUGCCAGCAGCCGCGGUAAUACGUAUGGGGCAAGCGUUAUCCGGAUUUACUGGGUGUAAAGGGAGCGUAGGCGGCAGGGCAAGCCUGAUGUGAAAGCCCGGGGCUCAACCCCGGGACUGCAUUGGGAACUGCCCCGCUCGAGUGCCGGAGGGGCAG